This is an RNA transcript of Oncorhynchus tshawytscha (Chinook salmon), 3086 nucleotides long. It is a transcript of the gene named sorbin and SH3 domain-containing protein 1, with no coding region annotated. Lineage: Eukaryota; Metazoa; Chordata; Actinopteri; Salmoniformes; Salmonidae. The transcript has 25 exons. The record is from RefSeq and is a predicted model, not a curated record.
AAGGAGGGAAAGACGCAUGUAUUUGAGCAAGGGGUGAGAUGCGAACCGUGUCGAGGAGAUUGGUGGGUGUGUGUGCCUGUGUGAUCGCUGUGGCGACUGUACAUUGUAGCAGAGACCUCACUGCCGCGUGUGGCAGCGAUAUUGAUAAGGAACACUGGAUUGCCACUCUACAAAGGGCUGUCCAACAGAGGGCAGUGUGAGAUUUGACCAAUCCCACACUCCUCCGGUCCCCUCAGGUCCUCGCUGUGUGUCUGCAGUCAGAAUCACCCCUCUGACAAGCAUGAAAGGCACUCCUGAUCUGAUUCCAUCUGCAGAGCUGGACCCUACAAGGGUGUGUAAAGGGAAGGGGGUCGUGACUCUGAGGGCCACUCUGGUCCACAUAGACGACGAGGACUGCGUCAGUGAAGAAUCAAAUGUUGACACAGCGCCAAGUGGUUGGAUCGGCCAGAUCAAUGGAGACAGCGCUCAAACGGGAUUUGCUGAUGGAGGCUUCCACGACAUCACAGCUGAUUUACCUACAGUCAACAGAACUCAAGCCCAGGGAAGUUCACCUGUGAACACAGAAGAGCCCCAGCUUCCUGCCUCUUUUGACAUUCAGAACUAUAUUUCGUCGACAAAGGCCACCUCUGCCUACCCAUCCGCCGCUGGCACUGUCAACCCAACCGUAGUUCUGCUACAACACAACAGAGACCCCACCCCAGAGAGGGACAAAUCGCCUGAUCCAGGACCUGUAGUUGGAACAGAGCGAGAACUGAGCCAACACCCAAAUAUGGACGGCAAGAGGAUGAGGUACUCUCAAUCCCAUAUCUUGGGUCCACUGAACCAGCCCAUCGUGCCAGUACGGAACACAGAUAAGUCAAAGGACUGGUACAAGAACAUGUUUAAACAGAUACACAAAAUUCCAGAACCUGUUGAGGAAAACCCAUAUCGCCCCACCUACAUAUUCCCUGAAUCCUAUGAUCCUAGGCAGAUGAAAACAACAGAUGAUGGUCACUCCUCCUAUGGUUAUGUGGAAGAAGUGAAAGCGGUCCCACGAUCAAAAAGUGCCGCUGAAGUUGACCAUAGGUCGUCUAUGCCUGUGCCAACACGGUCCUCUUCCCUCAAACCUGCCAAAAGGAACGACUGGGAGCCCCCUGACAAAAAGGUAGACACCAGGAAGUACCGUGCCGAGCCCAAGAGCAUCUUCGAGUACGAGCCGGGGAAAUCAUCGGUGACGAAACUGGAGAGAAAGACUCAGCACACUAGUCCAGAAGAUGUAGAUUUAGAGAAUGAGCCUUGGUAUAGAUUCUUUUCAGAGAUGGACUUUGAUAAAGCGAGUGCCCCCACUUUCAGCCCUCUGGAUACACCCUCCGACCUACAGAAGUACUCCGGGUGUAAGGCCGGACACAGCGAGGUGGAGAAGGACGAAGGCUCGUCUGGCAGCGAGCCAGCGGCUCCAGAAUGCGACCGCUAUGUUUACAAGAGCAUCCUGGAGGGCGGUGAUAUUCCCCUGCAAGGUCUGCGGGCCCUCAACAAGCGCCAUGCCAGCACCUCCUCUAAAGAUUCAGACUCGUCCCAGGCUUUGACCCAAGGAGACCUUGGUGACGGCCAGGACGAGGUGGUUAGGAGACGCCAUGGAGACAAAGAGAAAAUCCUGGAAGAGCAGCGGCGGCUGAAGAGGGAGCAGGAGGAGGCUGACACAGCAUCGAGGCGACACACAGGAAUCGUUCCCACCCACCACCAGUUCAUCACUAAUGAACGCUUCGGAGACCUGCUCAACAUCAACAUCAACGACACAGACAAGAGGAAAUCCGGAUCAGAGAGAACUCCAGCCCUGGCUCGGUUUGACUUCAGAGCAGAGACUCUAAAGGAGUUACCAUUUCAAAAGGGAGACAUUGUGUACAUCAUUCGACAGGUGGAUAAUAAUUGGUUCGAAGGGGAGCAUCACGGCAGAGUCGGCAUCUUCCCACGGAGUUAUGUUGAGCUCCUUCCCCCCACGGAGAAGGCCCAGCCAAAGAAGAGUGCCCCAGUGCAGGUGCUGGAGUAUGGAGAGGCCAUAGCCCGUUUCAACUUCACAGGGGACACGGUGGUGGAGAUGUCAUUUAGAAAGGGAGAGAGGAUCAUCCUAAUUCGCAGGGUCGAUGAGAACUGGUACGAGGGCAAGGUCUCCGGUUCCAAUCGCCAGGGUAUCUUCCCCGUCACCUACAUAGAGGUGCACAAACGACCCAGAGUCAGGAAUGGAUUGGAUUAUCCAGACCCACCCAUUGGCCAAUCACCUCACCGCAGCCUCAAUGCUUCCCCUCAGCUGGUGAAGAAUGAGAGUGACUACCAUGGUAGAACCUCCAGGAGCCCUGUCAUGUUGUUUGACAUCCACGACAACAACAUGAAUGCUAACUCAUUUGCGCAACCCCAGUCCCACAGCCCGGAGCCGAGUCGUCUCAGCUGUGGAAUUGUUACCCUACAGUUUCCAGGCUUUGUACUGUUACAUGCCACAGAAUGAGGAUGAGCUGGAGCUGCAGGAGGGAGAUCUUGUCAGCGUAAUGGAGAAGUGUGACGAUGGCUGGUUUGUUGGUACCUCAAAGAGGACCAAACAGUUUGGCACGUUUCCAGGAAACUACGUGAAAGAGGUCAACUUGUAACCUGUCAACAGACAUUUAUAGUGUGAGGAGAACCCAGCUCUAACCAGUGGUUACCAUUCAAGUAUUUGGGAAGGCAUUACUAUUGCGCUUGAUUGUUUCAAUUAGGAUAGUCAUUCAGCCAGGUGAAUAUGUUUGUCUGGUGUAAGUGAUCAGUUUGGUGUGAGGUAUGUUAAUGUACAUGAGGCGAAGACAGGAGGAAGCUUUGCUGUUGACUCACUGCCCAAACGUCAGUGUGGUGUAUACGUACUCCAACCAUAUCCUACACAGUACAUGGGCUGAAUUUAUAAUAUCCAAUUCUGACAAUAGAACAUUUAGUUUUAAAAAAUCCUCCCAAAAUGUCAGCACAUACAGACUACGUUAUAAAAUGAGUUUACAAAACAUUAUGAACACCAGAUUUUUCCAUGGCAUAGACUGACCAGGUGAAUCCAGGUGAAAGCUAUGAUCCCUUAUUGAUGUCACUUGUUAAAU